AGUGAACGCUGGCGGUAGGCCUAACACAUGCAAGUCGAACGGCAGCACAGUAAGAGCUUGCUCUUACGGGUGGCGAGUGGCGGACGGGUGAGGAAUACAUCGGAAUCUACUUUUUCGUGGGGGAUAACGUAGGGAAACUUACGCUAAUACCGCAUACGACCUACGGGUGAAAGCAGGGGUUCUUCGGACCUUUCGCGAUUGAAUGAGCCGAUGCCGGAUUAGCUAGUUGGCGGGGUAAAGGCCCACCAAGGCGACGAUCCGUAGCUGGUCUGAGAGGAUGAUCAGCCACACUGGAACUGAGACACGGUCCAGACUCCUACGGGAGGCAGCAGUGGGGAAUAUUGGACAAUGGGCGCAAGCCUGAUCCAGCCAUACCGCGUGGGUGAAGAAGGCCUUCGGGUUGUAAAGCCCUUUUGUUGGGAAAGAAAAGCAGCAGGUUAAUACCCCGCUGUUCUGACGGUACCCAAAGAAUAAGCACCGGCUAACUUCGUG
Molecule: ribosomal RNA, 492 nt
Filed under: uncultured bacterium
Lineage: Bacteria
Description: partial 16S ribosomal RNA
Rfam family: Bacterial small subunit ribosomal RNA
Source: RNAcentral